This 87-nucleotide transfer RNA is filed under the name Pseudomonadota bacterium. RNAcentral describes it as "Proteobacteria bacterium (sediment metagenome) tRNA-Leu". It matches the Rfam family "tRNA". Rfam says of the family: Transfer RNA (tRNA) molecules are approximately 80 nucleotides in length. The record is from RNAcentral. Lineage: Bacteria; Pseudomonadati; Pseudomonadota.
GCCGAAGUGGUGGAAUUGGCAGACACGCUAGGUUCAGGGUCUAGUGGGAGUGCUCCCGUGGGGGUUCGAGUCCCCCCUUCGGCACCA